AUCCAGUUGACGAGUCCCACGUAGGACGAAACGUGCGUCAUGGAU
Non-coding RNA from Schistosoma rodhaini, 45 nucleotides. The record is from Rfam. NCBI's taxonomy places the organism in Eukaryota, Metazoa, Platyhelminthes, Trematoda, Strigeidida, Schistosomatidae.